Molecule: ribosomal RNA, 242 nt
Filed under: uncultured bacterium
Lineage: Bacteria
Description: partial 16S ribosomal RNA
Rfam family: Bacterial small subunit ribosomal RNA
Source: RNAcentral
GCAAGUCGAGCGAGAAAUGCUUCGGGCUGAGUACAGCGGCGGACGGGUGAGUAACGCGUAGGAAUCUACCUGGUAGUGGGGGACAACUUGCGGAAACGCAAGCUAAUACCGCAUACACCCUAAGGGGGAAAGCGGAGGAUCUUCGGACCUCGUGCUAUCGGAUGAGCCUGCGUAGGAUUAGCUAGUUGGUGAGGUAAAAGCUCACCAAGGCGACGAUCCUUAGCUGGUCUGAGAGGAUGAUC